GGAAUACUUCCUACCGGGAGGGAGAUGUGAGCGCGGCUGGGUUGAAGCCAGAGGAUGCUAAGCAGGAGAAGGAAACUGUGUGAACGAAGGUUCAGAAGCAAAAUGUGUUUUGCCAACUUGGACAAUGAAUCAUUGAGCGUAUGAAAGGGAAGGAACAGGUACCUCGAGAGCACAUCAUUCUGCCCUAGAAGACUUGCAAGGGAAGGAGGUUAUUAUGUGCCAGCAGCCCUCUGGGCUCUUCAUUAAGAGGAUCAAAUGGAGUUCCUCUUGUUCAGGCUCUUCUGUCCUUUACAACAGAUGUUCCUCCAGGUGGAAAUUCUCCUUUGCCUGCUGAGUACCCUCAGCUAGUGUAGAAGGUAUUAAUGUUUGAGGCUCAACAGAAGAUUAGCCAAACAUUGGAAUGUUAAGUCUAUUCGUGCCCCCUAGCAAAGGUUUAUUCUAAGUCUACUGUGUGCCUGAAUCAGGACCCAGCCCAUGAGCCCAUGGAAAUUACAGUUUUGCUGGGAAGGACAGAACUUAUGCUUACCCAAUGAUUUAAAAAGAGAAAAAUGGAACCUGAAAUUUAAAACCAGACCAAUAUAUCAUGAAAUAUUUCACUCCUUAUCCUUAAACAUGUUUAUUGUUAUUUCUUGUUGUGGUAAAAUAUACCACAAUAUAACAAAUUUUGCCAACGGAAUUUUUUUUAGUGUACAGUCCAGCAGUGUUUAGUAUAAUCACAUUGUUUUGCAACCCAUCUUCAGAAUUUUUUUUUUUUUUUUUUUUCUUUUUGCCUUUUCUAGGGCCGUUCCCGUGGCAUAUGGAGGUUCCCAGGCUACGGGUCGAAUCGGAGCGGUAGAUGCCAGCCUAUGCCAGAGCCACAGCAACUCGGGAUCCGAGCUGCGUCUGCGACCUACACUACAGCUCACGGCAACGCUGGAUCCUUGACCCAUUGAGAAAGGCCAGGGAUCAAACCCACAACCUCAUGGUUCCUAGUCAGAUUCGUUAAACACUGCGCCACAACAGGAACUCCUCAUCUUCAAAAUUCUUUUCAUUUUGAAAAAUUGAAACAAUUAACAUUAAACAAUUACUUCCCAUUCCCUCCUCCCUUUCCAGCCCCUGGCAACCGUCACUGUCUUUCAGUCUCUGAAUUUGACUACUCGAGGUACUUCAUAUUAGUGAAAUCAUACAGUAUUUGUCUUUUUGUGACUGGCUUAUUUCCAUUAGAAUAAUGCUCUCAGGUUUCACAAACCAUGUUGUAGUUUGUGUUGGAAUUUUCUUUUUUUAAGAUUCUGUAAUAUUCCAUUGUGUGUAUAUAUCACGUUUUGUUUCUC
Molecule: long non-coding RNA, 1310 nt
Filed under: Sus scrofa (pig)
Lineage: Eukaryota; Metazoa; Chordata; Mammalia; Artiodactyla; Suidae
Description: lncRNA (ENSSSCG00005013491.1)
Source: RNAcentral